UGGGUCCUGCCUUUCUGCCCCCAGCCCCAGCUGAAACUAGGAAGACUAGGGUAGAUAACUCAAGAACCUAGUGGAGAAACUGCAAGGUCUGAAGACGGCACCAUUUAUUAAGUGGCAUCUAUUUCAUACCAAUUUUAAAACCUCCAUCUUAAAUACUUAGCACCAGCGUGCACCGAACAACCAACCUGGCCUCCAGGACGCCGGCCUGGGCCGGAGCGCCGCUUUGCACGGAAACCCCCCGCUCCACCCCCAGCUCUUGGGGUCCCCAGUGGCAGAGCCCGGCGCCUUCCCGGGUAACUUUUCCCUUCAGUAGGUGGAAGGUUACAUUGGAGGAAAAUAGUCCCUCCUGUGUAAAAAGUUUUCAGGGGAAAAGCGCUCGGUCGGACGUGCAGCAAGGAGGGUGGUCGGGUGGGGGUGCAGGCGCUGAGUCCUGGGUCCCGCUAGGCCCAGCGCUGCUGCACGACCCCGCGCCCGGAGGCCUCGCUGCUGGCGACCUCUGAGGGCGGGAUCCCGGUUCCCGCAGAGCGGUGGAGUCUCCAGGAGCAUCUUCCCCUCCCCCGUUGUUUAGGGGAUUGAACCCGACGCCUUCACACUGAGCUACGUUCUCAGCCCCUUUUAAUUAUUUUUCUUUUAAAUCCUAUUUUUGAGACAGUGUCUUGCAAAAUCGCGGACUUACUCAGGCUGGACUCGAAUUUGAGAACCACCUGCCUCAGCCUCCCACAGUGCUGGGAUACAAGGCAUGCAAUAUCACGCUCAAGGUGAGCCUUGCUUUCAAAUUGAUACUUUUCUUUUGUCCUGAUCUCUUCACCUCAAGUCUGCGUUAAGUAGGAGUGCAGGAAAUGAGAACUAUAGAGAAAAAAAUUAAAAUGCAAUCUUUAAAAUACAAAUGUUCCUACUCCCCUUUUCUCUGUCAGAUUACUAUAGGUGUCAAUUACAUGUGGAUAGGCACUCAGAUCAGGCUCGGAAGCUCUAUCUUCUGCAAGCUCUAUCUUCUGCCCUCACCUGGCAUCAAAAUAAGGUUUUCAUGCAGUAGUAAUUUUGUAGAUCAAAGCCUGCACCUCAAAACGACCUCCUGUGCAGAAUCUUGCCCCCCGCAUCUCCUAGCUGAUACAUGUGGGAAAUGCUUAGUUCGGGAUACUGUUGGAAACUACAGGGAAGUGGCGUUCAUCUACAGUGUUCAUCUACAGUACACCUACAAAGGCAUAGGAGCUGGGCGUGAUGGCACAUUCCAGCACGUGGGAGGCUGAGGAAGGAGGGCCAGCCUAGGCUACAUAGUGAGACCCUGUCUCAGAAAAAGAAAGGAUGGAAGGAAGGAAGAAAGAAGAAAAAGAUUUAGGGUGUGACAGAGACUCAUUUAAUGAUAGCUAAAAGAGUUUUGCCCUAGAAUAAAUUACUGCACGGUUAUGACGGUGGUCUAAUGUGGAAGGCCACAGCAGGAUGGCCCACCACUUCCUGCUUCUUCCCCAGCCCUAAUUGCAACUCCCCUUCCUGUUUGCGCAGGAAGAAAACUCCAAUCAGCUUCCAGCGCGUCAUCAAUGCCCGUCCUAAGCUCCACCCCUGCUCUAAGGCUACAUGUGUCCCACAUCCCCCACCCCCACCCGCGCCCCAUAUUCAGGAGAAAGGAGACAGCGCAGCCACCAUGGAUUGUGUGCUCCUUCCCACGUCGUCAUCGCAAUAAACCUGUUCUUGUACUUUUGCAUCUCCAUUGCGCCAGAAGUGCUUUGCACACAG
Cavia porcellus (domestic guinea pig) is the source of this 1731-nucleotide long non-coding RNA. Lineage: Eukaryota; Metazoa; Chordata; Mammalia; Rodentia; Caviidae. The record is from Ensembl.